CCCUGGAAUAAACCUCACUGGGUCAUAGUGCAUAGUGUAUGGUUAUUUUUAUAUAUCACUGAAUUCUAUUUGCUAACAUUUUGUAAGGAUUUUUGCAUCAGUAUUCAUGAAGGAUAUUGGUCUUGUUCUUCUUCCUCUUUUUUUUUGCUUUCCCUGGCUUUAGUAUCAGGUGUUACUGACUUCAUAAAAUGAAUUGGGAAGUGUUCUCUCCUUUUCCAUUUUUUGGAAGAAAAUGUAUAAAAUUGGGAAAAUCUAUCUAGGAUAAUCAGAGGGAAUAGGUGUUUGUUUAACAAUGGUUAACACUUAUCCUGAAGAGACUAAUCAAUUUUUUAAUAUAAGAUUCAAUUCUACCCGAUUGUGGGCCAGGCACUGUUCUAAGCAUUUUGUCAAUGUUAAAUGGUUUAACCUCAUACAAGUCAUAUAGCUUGUAAGUGGCAGUAGAGAUUUAAACCCAAUCAUCUUUUC
RNAcentral lists this long non-coding RNA (465 nucleotides) under Dasypus novemcinctus (nine-banded armadillo). RNAcentral describes it as "lncRNA (ENSDNOG00000049827.1)". Lineage: Eukaryota; Metazoa; Chordata; Mammalia; Cingulata; Dasypodidae. The record is from RNAcentral.